This 3602-nucleotide unclassified non-coding RNA is filed under the name Pan troglodytes (chimpanzee). RNAcentral's name for it is "external transcribed spacer". The stretch from base 1999 to 2088 matches the Rfam family "mir-663 microRNA precursor family". The record is from RNAcentral. Lineage: Eukaryota; Metazoa; Chordata; Mammalia; Primates; Hominidae.
GCUGACACGCUGUCCUCUGGCGACCUGUCGCUGGAGAGGUUGGGACUCCGGAUGCGUGCGGGGCUCUGGCCUACCGGUGACCCGGCUAGCCGGCCGUGCUCCUGCUUGAGCCGCCUGCUGGGGCCCGCGGGCCUGCUGUCCUCUCGCGCGCCCGGGCGUGUCCCGACUCCCGGUGCCGGCCCGGGUCCGGGUCUCUGACCCGCCUGGGGGCGGCGGGGAAGGCGGCGAGGGCCACCCUGCCCCCGUGCGCUCUCCGCUGCGGGCGCCCGGGGCGGCCGCGACAACCCCACCCCGCUGGCUCCGUGCCGUGCGUGUCAGGCGUUCUCGUCUCCGCUGGGUUGUCCGCCGCCCCUUCCCCGGAGCAGGGCGUCGGCCGGCCGGCCGACCUCCGCUCCCGGGGGGCUCUUCGUGAUCGAUGUGGUGACGUCGUGCUCUCCCGGGCCGGGUCCGAGCCGCGACGGGCGAGGGGCGGACGUUCGUGGCGAACGGGACCGUUCUUCUCGCUCCGCCCCGCGGGGUCCCCUCGUCUCUCCUCUCCCCGCCUGCGGGUGGCGCGUGUGGGGGAGGCGUGUGGGGUGCGGAGCCCGGCCCGACCUCGCCGUCCCGCCCGCUGCCUUCUGCGUCGCGGGGCGGCGGGGUCCUCUGACGCGGCAGGCACCCCUCGCUGUCGCCUCCAGUGGUUGUGGACUUGCGGGCGGCCCCCCUCCGCGGCGGUGGGGGGUGCCGUCCCGCCGGCCCGUCGUGCUGCCCUCUCGGGGGGUGUGCGCGAGCGUCGGCUCCGCUUGGGCCUUUGCGGUGCUCCUGGAGCGCUCCGGGUUGUCCCUCAGGUGCCCGAGGCCGAGCGGUGGUGUGUCGUUCCCGCCCCCAGCGCCCCCUCCUCCGGUCGCCGCCGCGGUGUCCGCGCGUGGGUCCUGAGGGAGCUCGUCGGUGUGGGGUUCGAGGCGGUCGAGUGAGACGAGACGCGCCCCUCCCACGCGGGGAAGGGCGUCCGUCCGGCGAGCGCACGUCCCGUGCUCCCCUCUGGCGGGUGCGCGCGGGCCGUGUGAGCGAUCGCGGUGGGUUCGGGCCGGUGGCGCGUGCGCCGGCCGGCCGCCGAGGGGCUGCCGUUCUGCCUCCGACCGGUAGUGUGUGGGUUGACUUCGGGGGUGCUUUGCCUCGGAAGGAAGGAGGCGGGUGGACGGGGGGGCCUCGUGGGGUUGCGCGCACGCGCGCACCGGCCGGGCCCCCGCCCUGACCGCGGACGCUCAAGGUGGCCGCACGCAGGUGUUUCCUCGUACUGCAGGCCCCCUCCCUUCCCCAGGCGUCCCUCGGCGCCUCUGCGGGCCCGAGGAGGGGCGGCUGGCGUGUGGGGGAGUGUGACCCACCCUCGGUGAGAAAGCCUUCUCUAGCGAUCCGAGAGGCGUGCCUUGGGGUACCGGAUCCCCCGGACUGCCGCCUCUGUCUCUGCCUCCGUGAUGGGAGCGCUGCCGUAGCGACUCGCUCGCAGAGGACCCUCCUCCCCUUCCCCCUCGACGGGGUUCGCGGGGGAGAGCGAGGGUUUCCGCCGGCCACCGCGGUGGUGGCCGAGCGCGGCUCGUCGCCUACUGUGGCCCGCGCCUCCCCCUUCUGAGUCGGGGGAGGAUCCCGCCGGGCCGGGCCCUGGCGUCCCAGCGGGUUGGGACGUGGCGGCCGGCGGGCGGUGGGUGCGCGCGCGGCGUUCCGUCCGGCGCGUGACCCCCUCCGCCGCGAGUCGGCUCUCCGUCCGCUCCCGUGUGCCGAGUCGUGACCGGUGCCCACGACCGCGUUUGCGUGGCGCGGGGUCGGGCCGCCUGGCCCUGGGAAAGCGUCCCACGGUGGGGGCGCGCCGGUCUCCCGGAGCGGGACCGGGCCGGAGGAUGGACGAGAGAAUCACGAGCGAUGGUGUUGCCGGUGUUGUCGGGCUUGUGGCUGCGGUCGCUUUGGGGCCCCCGGUGGCGGGACCCCGGGGCUCGCGAGGCGGGUCUCGGUGGGGGCCGAGGGCCGUCCGGCGUCCCAGGCGGGGCGCCGCGGGACCGCCCUCGUGUCUGUGGCGGUGGGAUCCCGCGGCCGUGUUUUCCUGGUGGCCCGGCCGUGCCUGAGGUUUCUCCCCGAGCCGCCGCCUCUGCGGGCUCCCGGGUGCCCUUGCCCGUCUGUGCCCUCUUCCCCGCCCGCCGCCCGCCGAUCCUCUCUUCUCCCCGAGCGGCUCGCCGGCUUGACGUCGGUUGGUGGCCCCGUCUGGGACCGAACCCGGCACCGCCUUGUUGGGGGCGCCGCCGCCGGCCACUGGUUGGCCCGGUGUCCGCGUCCCCCGGCGCGCGCCUUCGGGACCGGGUCGGUGGCGCCCCGCGUGGGGCCCGGUGGGCUUCCCGGAGGGUUUCGGGGGUCGGCCUGUGGCGCGCGUGCGAGGGAAGAGAGGGUGCCGGGGGACCGGCCGCGACUGCGGCGGUGGUGGGGGGGGAGCCGCGGGGAGCGCCGAGGGCCGGUCGGCCGCUCCGGGUGCCGCGCGGGGCCGCCUUCCCGCUCGGAGGCUGCCGGCGGUGAGACCCCCGCGUGUGUGUCCCGGCCGCGGUCGGCUGCGCCCGAGGGGUCCCGUGGCGUCCCCUUCCCCGCCGGCCGCCUUUCUCGCGCCUUCCCCGUCGCCUCGGCCUCGCCCGUGGUCCCUCGUCUUCUCCCGGCCCGCUCUUCCGAGCCGGGUCGGCGCGUCCCCCGGGUGCGCCUCGCUUCCCGGGCCUGCCGUGGCCCUCCCUGGAGGCGUCCGUCCCGGGCGUCGGCGUCGGGGAGAGCGCGUCCUCCCCGCGUGGCGUUGCCCCGUUCGGCGCGCGCGUGCGCCCGAGCGCGGCCCGGUGGUCCCUCCCGGACAGGCGUUCGUGCGAUGUGUGGCGCAGGUCGGCCUCCGCCUUUGCCCGGUCGCUCGCCCUUUCCCCGGGUCGGGGGGUGGGGCCCGGGCCGGGGCCUCGGCCCCGGUCGCGGUCCCUCGUCCCGGGUGGGGGCGGGCGCGCCGGCCGGCUGCGGUCGUCCUCCCUUGGCCGUCGUGUGGCGUGUGCCACCCCUGCGCCCGCGCCCGCCGGCGGGGCUCGGAGCCGGGCUUCGGCCGGGCUCCGGGCCCUCGACCGGACCGGUGCGCGGGCGCUGCGGCCGCACGGCGCGACUGUCCCCGGGCCGGGCGCCGCGGUCCGCCUCUCGCUCGCCGCCCGAACGUCGGGGCCGCCCCGCGGGGCGGGCGGAGCGCCGUCCCCGCCUCGCCGCCGCCCACGGGCGCCGGCCGCGCGUGCGCGUGGCCGCCGGUCCCUCCCGGGCGCGGGUCGGGCCAUCCGCCUCCUCGCGGGCGGGCGCGACGAGAAAGGGUCUCGCGGGUCCGUGGUGUGAGCCCGGCGCGGGGGGGGGGCGGUGGUCGUGUCGUGUUGGGGGGCGGGUGGUCGGGGCGUCCGGUUCGCCGCGCCCCGCCCCGGCCCCCACCGUCCCGGCCGCCGCCCCGCGCCCGCUCGCUCCCUCCCGCCCGCCCGUCCGCGGUCCGUCCGUCCGUCGUCCUCCUCGCUUCCGGGGCGCCGGGCCCGUCCUCGCGAGGCCCCCGGCCGGCCGCGUCGGGGCCUCGCCGCGCUUCUACC